RNAcentral lists this transfer RNA (80 nucleotides) under Pseudomonas fluorescens. Its description in RNAcentral is "tRNA-Thr". The record is from RNAcentral. Lineage: Bacteria; Pseudomonadati; Pseudomonadota; Gammaproteobacteria; Pseudomonadales; Pseudomonadaceae.
GUCAGCAGCAGGCCGGACAAGUCCGCGUUGUUGGUAUCAAUGCCGGCCGAACCCAGCGCUUCGACCACGCUCAGCGGAUU